Molecule: ribosomal RNA, 2105 nt
Filed under: Salmonella enterica subsp. enterica serovar Enteritidis
Lineage: Bacteria; Pseudomonadati; Pseudomonadota; Gammaproteobacteria; Enterobacterales; Enterobacteriaceae
Description: partial 23S ribosomal RNA
Rfam family: Bacterial large subunit ribosomal RNA
Source: RNAcentral
GAAACCCGGUGAUCUAGCCAUGGGCAGGUUGAAGGUUGGGUAACACUAACUGGAGGACCGAACCGACUAAUGUUGAAAAAUUAGCGGAUGACCUGUGGCUGGGGGUGAAAGGCCAAUCAAACCGGGAGAUAGCUGGUUCUCCCCGAAAGCUAUUUAGGUAGCGCCUCGUGAAUUCAUCUCCGGGGGUAGAGCACUGUUUCGGCUAGGGGGCCAUCCCGGCUUACCAACCCGAUGCAAACUGCGAAUACCGGAGAAUGUUAUCACGGGAGACACACGGCGGGUGCUAACGUCCGUCGUGAAGAGGGAAACAACCCAGACCGCCAGCUAAGGUCCCAAAGUCAUGGUUAAGUGGGAAACGAUGUGGGAAGGCCCAGACAGCCAGGAUGUUGGCUUAGAAGCAGCCAUCAUUUAAAGAAAGCGUAAUAGCUCACUGGUCGAGUCGGCCUGCGCGGAAGAUGUAACGGGGCUAAACCAUGCACCGAAGCUGCGGCAGCGACACUGUGUGUUGUUGGGUAGGGGAGCGUUCUGUAAGCCUGUGAAGGUGUGUCGUGAGGCAUGCUGGAGGUAUCAGAAGUGCGAAUGCUGACAUAAGUAACGAUAAAGCGGGUGAAAAGCCCGCUCGCCGGAAGACCAAGGGUUCCUGUCCAACGUUAAUCGGGGCAGGGUGAGUCGACCCCUAAGGCGAGGCCGAAAGGCGUAGUCGAUGGGAAACGGGUUAAUAUUCCCGUACUUGGUGUUACUGCGAAGGGGGGACGGAGAAGGCUAUGUUGGCCGGGCGACGGUUGUCCCGGUUUAAGCGUGUAGGUGUGUGUUCCAGGUAAAUCCGGUUCACUUUAACACUGAGGCGUGACGACGAGGCACUACGGUGCUGAAGCAACAAAUGCCCUGCUUCCAGGAAAAGCCUCUAAGCAUCAGGUAACAUCAAAUCGUACCCCAAACCGACACAGGUGGUCAGGUAGAGAAUACCAAGGCGCUUGAGAGAACUCGGGUGAAGGAACUAGGCAAAAUGGUGCCGUAACUUCGGGAGAAGGCACGCUGACACGUAGGUGAAGUGAUUUACUCAUGGAGCUGAAGUCAGUCGAAGAUACCAGCUGGCUGCAACUGUUUAUUAAAAACACAGCACUGUGCAAACACGAAAGUGGACGUAUACGGUGUGACGCCUGCCCGGUGCCGGAAGGUUAAUUGAUGGGGUCAGCGCAAGCGAAGCUCCUGAUCGAAGCCCCGGUAAACGGCGGCCGUAACUAUAACGGUCCUAAGGUAGCGAAAUUCCUUGUCGGGUAAGUUCCGACCUGCACGAAUGGCGUAAUGAUGGCCAGGCUGUCUCCACCCGAGACUCAGUGAAAUUGAACUCGCUGUGAAGAUGCAGUGUACCCGCGGCAAGACGGAAAGACCCCGUGAACCUUUACUAUAGCUUGACACUGAACAUUGAGCCUUGAUGUGUAGGAUAGGUGGGAGGCUUUGAAGUGUGGACGCCAGUCUGCAUGGAGCCGACCUUGAAAUACCACCCUUUAAUGUUUGAUGUUCUAACGUGGACCCGUUACCCGGGUUGCGGACAGUGUCUGGUGGGUAGUUUGACUGGGGCGGUCUCCUCCUAAAGAGUAACGGAGGAGCACGAAGGUUGGCUAAUCCUGGUCGGACAUCAGGAGGUUAGUGCAAUGGCAUAAGCCAGCUUGACUGCGAGCGUGACGGCGCGAGCAGGUGCGAAAGCAGGUCAUAGUGAUCCGGUGGUUCUGAAUGGAAGGGCCAUCGCUCAACGGAUAAAAGGUACUCCGGGGAUAACAGGCUGAUACCGCCCAAGAGUUCAUAUCGACGGCGGUGUUUGGCACCUCGAUGUCGGCUCAUCACAUCCUGGGGCUGAAGUAGGUCCCAAGGGUAUGGCUGUUCGCCAUUUAAAGUGGUACGCGAGCUGGGUUUAGAACGUCGUGAGACAGUUCGGUCCCUAUCUGCCGUGGGCGCUGGAGAACUGAGGGGGGCUGCUCCUAGUACGAGAGGACCGGAGUGGACGCAUCACUGGUGUUCGGGUUGUCAUGCCAAUGGCACUGCCCGGUAGCUAAAUGCGGAAGAGAUAAGUGCUGAAAGCAUCUAAGCACGAAACUUGCCCCGAG